Molecule: long non-coding RNA, 114 nt
Organism: Sapajus apella (tufted capuchin)
Lineage: Eukaryota; Metazoa; Chordata; Mammalia; Primates; Cebidae
Exons: 2
Source: RefSeq, a predicted model, not a curated record
GGAGGCUGAGGCAGGAGAAUUGCCUGAACCCAGGAGGCGGAGAUUGCGGCGAGCCAAAAUCGCUCCACUGCACUCCAGCCUGGGCAACAAGAGUAAAACUCCGUCUCAAAAAAA